RNAcentral lists this ribosomal RNA (253 nucleotides) under uncultured prokaryote. Its description in RNAcentral is "partial 16S ribosomal RNA". It matches the Rfam family "Bacterial small subunit ribosomal RNA", at positions 524 to 776 of the family's 1533-position model. The record is from RNAcentral.
GACGAGGGAUGCAAGCGUUAUCCGGAUUCAUUGGGUUUAAAGGGAGCGUAGGCGGAUUUGUAAGUCAGUGGUGAAAUCUCCGGGCUCAACCCGGAAACUGCCAUUGAUACUGCAGGUCUAGAGUACAGUUGCCGUUGGCGGAAUAUGACAUGUAGUGGUGAAAUACUUAGAUAUGUCAUAGAACACCGAUUGCGAAGGCAGCUAACGAAACUGUAACUGACGCUGAGGCUCGAAAGUGCGGGGAUCAAACAGG